GACGAACGUUGGCGGCGUGCUUAACACAUGCAAGUCGAACGGAAAGGCCCUGCUUGCAGGGUACUCGAGUGGCGAACGGGUGAGUAACACGUGGGUGAUCUGCCCUGCACUUCGGGAUAAGCCUGGAAAACUGGGUCUAAUACCGGAUAGGAGCCAUUUUUAGUGUGAUGGUUGGAAAGUUUUUUCGGUGUAGGAUGAGCUCGCGGCCUAUCAGCUUGUUGGUGGGGUAAUGGCCUACCAAGGCGGCGACGGGUAGCCGGCCUGAGAGGGUGGACGGCCACAUUGGGACUGAGAUACGGCCCAGACUCCUACGGGAGGCAGCAGUGGGGAAUAUUGCACAAUGGGCGCAAGCCUGAUGCAGCGACGCCGCGUGGGGGAUGACGGCCUUCGGGUUGUAAACUCCUUUCGCUAGGGACGAAGCUUUUUGUGACGGUACCUAGAUAAGAAGCACCGGCUAACUACGUG
Molecule: ribosomal RNA, 465 nt
Filed under: uncultured bacterium
Lineage: Bacteria
Description: partial 16S ribosomal RNA
Rfam family: Bacterial small subunit ribosomal RNA
Source: RNAcentral